GACGAACGCUGGCGGCGUGCUUAACACAUGCAAGUCGAACGGAAAGGCCCUGCUUGCGGGGUACUCUCGUGGGGCGCGGGUGUGUAACACGCGGGUGUUCCGCGCUGUACAUCGUGGUAUGACUUCAGAACACUGUGGAUUACCGCGGAUGGGCGCUCCUUCUGGUGAGGGUUGGUAGGUAAUUUUGGGCGGUGGUGGAUGGGCUCGCGGCGUAUCAGCUUGUUGGUGGGGUAGUGGCUUACCAAGGCAGUGACGGGUAGCCGGCCUGAGAGGGUGACCGGCCACAUUGGGACUGAGAUACGGCCCAGACUCCUACGGGAGGCAGCAGUGGGGAAUAUUGCACAAUGGGCGGAAGCCUGAUGCAGCGACGCCGCGUGCGGGAUGACGGCCUUCGGGUUGUAAACCGCUUUCGCUAGGGACGAAGCUUUUGUGACGGUACUUAGUAAAGAAGCACCGGCUAACUACGUG
Molecule: ribosomal RNA, 468 nt
Filed under: uncultured bacterium
Lineage: Bacteria
Description: partial 16S ribosomal RNA
Rfam family: Bacterial small subunit ribosomal RNA
Source: RNAcentral